GCCGGGGUAGCUCAAUCGGUAGAGCGUGUGGCUCUUAUACAGAGACAACCUCAAGGUCGCGGGUUCGAGCCCCGCCUUCGGCU
This is a non-coding RNA of Delphinella strobiligena, 83 nucleotides long. Lineage: Eukaryota; Fungi; Ascomycota; Dothideomycetes; Dothideales; Dothioraceae. The record is from the annotation of a GenBank genome assembly.